This is a non-coding RNA of Paramarasmius palmivorus, 93 nucleotides long. Lineage: Eukaryota; Fungi; Basidiomycota; Agaricomycetes; Agaricales; Marasmiaceae. The record is from the annotation of a GenBank genome assembly.
GGGCACAUAGCGUAGGGGUUAUCGCGUUCGCUUUGCAUGUAGAUGAAACCUCGUCACUGCGAAAGGUCCCCGGUUCAAUUCCGGGUGUGUCCA